CUACGGGGUGCUGCAGUGGGGAAUAUUGGACAAUGGGGGAAACCCUGAUCCAGCAAUGCCGCGUGUGUGAAGAAGGCCUGCGGGUUGUAAAGCACUUUCGGUUGGGAGGACUGCUUCUAGCACUAAUAUUGUUGGAAGUUGACGUUACCUUCAGAAGAAGCACCGGCUAACUCCGUGCCAGCAGCCGCGGUAAUACGGAGGGUGCAAGCGUUAAUCGGAAUUACUGGGCGUAAAGCGCGCGUAGGCGGCUAGAUCAGUCGGGUGUGAAAGCCCCGGGCUUAACCUGGGCACUGCAUCCGAUACUGUCUAGCUUGAGUACAGGAGAGGAGAGUGGAAUUCCACAUGUAGCGGUGAAAUGCGUAGAUAUGUGGAGGAACACCAAUGGCGAAGGCAGCUCUCUGGCCUGAUACUGACGCUGAGGUGCGGAAGCGUGGGGAGCAAACAGGAUUAGAUACCCUAGUAGUC
This 465-nucleotide ribosomal RNA is filed under the name uncultured bacterium. RNAcentral's name for it is "partial 16S ribosomal RNA". It matches the Rfam family "Bacterial small subunit ribosomal RNA", at positions 339 to 795 of the family's 1533-position model. The record is from RNAcentral.